GUUCACAGACCGUGAAGAAGCUCCACCCCAAACACAGAGGCACUGCUUGCUUUGGCCCCAAAACCCUGGUGCAGGACCUAGGGGACGUAGGGCGGCAGGACGAACAUUGGCCCGGCCCUCGCCUCCUCCUGUGACCCCGCAACCCCUCACCUCCCGCGGGGAGAAGAGGCGUAAGCAUAUUCUCUUGUCUUUCUGCCUUCCACAAUGGAAUGAGCAGCAAGAAGGCCUUCAGCAGAUGCAGUGCCCUUGAACGUGGCCUUCCCAGCCUCCAGAACUGUAACAAAUAAGUCUAUGUUCUUCGUAGAUUACCCAGUCUCAGGUAUUCUGUUAUAGCAACAUAAAGUGAACUAAGACAGAAGACAUGGAUCAAAUUCUCCCCUAGAACCUUCAGAGAGGGCAUAGCCCUGCUGACAUUUUGAUUUCAGACUUCUAGCCUCUAGAACAAGGGUUCCAACCCCUGGGCUGAGGACCAAUACCAGUCCAUGCCUUGUUAGGAACCGAGCUGCAAAGCAGGAGGUAAGUAGCAGGUGAAUGAGCAUUGCCUGAGCUCUGCAUCCUGUCGGAUCAGUGACAGCAUUUGAUUCUUUUGGGACCGUGAACCCUAUUGUGAACCGCACAUGCAAGGGAUCUAGGUUGCACACACCUCAUGAGAAUCUAACUAAUGCCUGAUGAUCUGAGGUGGAACAGUUUCAUCCCAAAACCAUCCCCCAGUCCCCACAUCUGUGGGAAAACUGUCUUCCAUGAAACUGGUCCCUGGUACCAGAAAGGUUGAGGACUGCUGCUCUAGAACCAUGAGAGAACACAUUUCUGUUCUUUUAAGCCACCAGUUUGUGUACUUUGUCACCAUUGCCUUAGGAAGCUGACAUACUCCUCAAGGAGGUGGAACAUAACUCCCACACUUAAGGAGUGGGCAUAGUGACUUCCUUCCAAAAAGAACACUGUGGAAAGGGCGAAAAAAAAGUAACUUUACAGUAGCGAAACCUGAUGAAGCCAGGUGACCAAACUCAACAUCAACAGUGAUGACUCAUGUUGAUUGUAUGUACCUUGAUAUGAUGUGAUGAAUAUGUGGUCUUCCUCCCAAAAACCUAUAACCACCAGCCAGGCACGGUGGAUCACGCCCUGUAAUCCCAGCACUUUGGGAGGCCAAGGCAGGUGGAUCAUCUGAGGUCAGGAGUUCGAGACCAGCCCGGCCAACGUGGUGAAACCCUGUCUCUACUAAAAAUGCAAAAAUUAGCUGGGUGUGGUGGCGGGAGCCUGUAAUCCCAGCUACUCAGGAGGCUGAGGUAGGAGGUUGCAGUGAGCCAAGAUCCCGCCACUGCACUCCAG
Molecule: long non-coding RNA, 1326 nt
Filed under: Homo sapiens (human)
Lineage: Eukaryota; Metazoa; Chordata; Mammalia; Primates; Hominidae
Description: non-protein coding lnc-FOXL2-5:5
Source: RNAcentral